Molecule: ribosomal RNA, 510 nt
Filed under: uncultured bacterium
Lineage: Bacteria
Description: partial 16S ribosomal RNA
Rfam family: Bacterial small subunit ribosomal RNA
Source: RNAcentral
GACGAACGCUGGCGGCGUGCUUAACACAUGCAAGUCGAACGAAGAGCGAUGGAAGCUUGCUUCUAUCAAUCUUAGUGGCGAACGGGUGAGUAACGCGUAAUCAACCUGCCCUUCAGAGGGGGACAACAGUUGGAAACGACUGCUAAUACCGCAUACGAUCUAAUCUCGGCAUCGAGGAUAGAUGAAAGGUGGCCUCUACAUGUAAGCUAUCACUGAAGGAGGGGAUUGCGUCUGAUUAGCUAGUUGGAGGGGUAACGGCCCACCAAGGCGAUGAUCAGUAGCCGGUCUGAGAGGAUGAACGGCCACAUUGGGACUGAGACACGGCCCAGACUCCUACGGGAGGCAGCAGUGGGGAAUCUUCCGCAAUGGACGAAAGUCUGACGGAGCAACGCCGCGUGAGCGAUGACGGCCUUCGGGUUGUAAAGCUCUGUUAAUCGGGACGAAAGGCCUUCUUGCGAAUAGAGAGAAGGAUUGACGGUACCGGAAUAGAAAGCCACGGCUAACUACGUG